UUCUUAAAAAUUUCUUAAAAAUUUCUUAAUUAGAAUUGCAAAUAUUUGAUUUUAGGGUAAAAUUUAAUUUUGGUUUAUAAGGUUUGUUUUAACUUAGUUUAACAUGUAAUAAUUUUGUUAUUUUUAUAUAUAGAAUAUUGCUAUCAGGAAGUUAAUGAUUUUAGCAAAACUCAAACGUUUGAGUUUCUAGCUUUGUUAUUUUGUGGUUAAGAUUGUGCCAGCAUCUGCGGUUAUACUUUCACUGAAAACUUUUAUUGGAGUUUAAGUUAUUACUAAAAACAUUUUUGUUUUAGGUGAAAUUAAUUAAUUUAAUUUUUAAGUUAACUUAAAAAUUAAAUUAUUAAACUAGGAUUAGAUACCCUACUAUAUAUUUAUUCUAAAAAAUUAGAUUUAAAAUUAAUAAAUUUGGCGGCUUUAAUAACUCAGAGGAGCUUGUUUAUUAAACCGAUAAACCCCGGUAUUUUGUACCCGUGUUUUUCUUUUAUACCGUCAUUUAAAUAAUUUCUUAUGAAUAUUAUUGUAAAAUUUAUAAAAAUUUAGAUCGAGGUGAAGACAUACCCGGGGUUUAAUUAGCUACACUAAGAAUUUUUUUACUAAUUUUAAUAAAUUUAAAAGUUUGUACAGGAUUUGAUAGUAAUGUUUACAGUAGUGAUAGACCUACUAAAGUGUACAAAUUGCCCGUCACUCCCUUUGGGAUAAGUCGAAACAAAGUAGAAUAACCUGAAGGUUAUUCUA
RNAcentral lists this ribosomal RNA (735 nucleotides) under Cyamus boopis. RNAcentral describes it as "12S ribosomal RNA". The record is from RNAcentral. Lineage: Eukaryota; Metazoa; Arthropoda; Malacostraca; Amphipoda; Cyamidae.